CGUAGGGUGCGAGCGUUAAUCGGAAUUACUGGGCGUAAAGCGUGCGCAGGCGGUUUAGUAAGACAGGCGUGAAAUCCCCGGGCUCAACCUGGGAACUGCGCUUGUGACUGCUAAGCUAGAGUACGGCAGAGGGGGUGGAAUUCCACGUGUAGCAGUGAAAUGCGUAGAGAUGUGGAGGAACACCAAUGGCGAAGGCAGCCCCCUGGGUCGAUACUGACGCUCAUGCACGAAAGCGUGGGUAGCAAACAGGAUUAGAUACCCUGGUAGUCCACGCCCUAAACGAUGUCAACUAGGUGUUGGGAGGGUAAAACCUUUAGUACCGGAGCUAACGCGUGAAGUUGACCGCCUGGGGAGUACGGCCGCAAGGUUA
RNAcentral lists this ribosomal RNA (370 nucleotides) under uncultured organism. RNAcentral's name for it is "bacterial SSU rRNA". It matches the Rfam family "Bacterial small subunit ribosomal RNA", at positions 526 to 896 of the family's 1533-position model. The record is from RNAcentral.